UGCCGUGCUAGGUGGGGAGGUAGCGGUGCCCUAUACUCGCAAUCCGCUAUAGCGAGACGGAAUCCCCGUCUGAGGUGUAUAGCUUUAAGGUCUGCCAUAAGGAAUUGGUGUUGAUGUUUGGGUCCUGCGCAACGGGAACCCGUGAAUUCUGUCAGGUCCGGAAGGAAGCAGCAGUAAGCGGUCUUUCUCGUGUGCCGCAGAGCAACCUGAACUGAGCCAUGAACUUAUGUAACGCUUGGGGCUAUAGCAUCGACGACGGGUGCACGGUG
This 269-nucleotide signal recognition particle RNA is filed under the name Paraliobacillus sp. PM-2. RNAcentral describes it as "Archaea_SRP". It matches the Rfam family "Bacterial large signal recognition particle RNA". From Rfam's summary of the family: The signal recognition particle (SRP) is a universally conserved ribonucleoprotein involved in the co-translational targeting of proteins to membranes. Archaeal SRP consists of a 7S RNA and homologues of the eukaryotic SRP19 and SRP54 proteins. Lineage: Bacteria; Bacillati; Bacillota; Bacilli; Caryophanales; Bacillaceae. The record is from RNAcentral.